RNAcentral lists this ribosomal RNA (301 nucleotides) under uncultured bacterium. Its description in RNAcentral is "partial 16S ribosomal RNA". It matches the Rfam family "Bacterial small subunit ribosomal RNA", at positions 509 to 807 of the family's 1533-position model. The record is from RNAcentral.
CAGCAGCCGCGGUAAUACAGAGGGUGCGAGCGUUAAUCGGAUUUACUGGGCGUAAAGCGUGCGUAGGCGGCUUCUUAAGUCGGAUGUGAAAUCCCUGAGCUUAACUUAGGAAUUGCAUUCGAUACUGGGAAGCUAGAGUAUGGGAGAGGAUGGUAGAAUUCCAGGUGUAGCGGUGAAAUGCGUAGAGAUCUGGAGGAAUACCGGUGGCGAAGGCGGCCCCCUGGACAAAGACUGACGCUCAGGUGCGAAAGCGUGGGGAGCAAACAGGAUUAGAUACCCGGGUAGUCCCUGUCUCUUAUAC